UGGGUCCGACCUGCCCAGUGAACUUUUUAACGGCCGCAGUACCCUGACUGUGCAAAGGUAGCAUAAUAAUUUGUCUUAUAAUUGAAGACUAGAAUGAACGGUCAAAUGCAAAUAAAACUGUCUCCCAUGCAAAACUAAAAAUUAAUUUAUUGGUUCAAAAGCCAACAUUUAAUAAAUAGACGAGAAGACCCUAUUGAGCUUAAUUUUUACUUAUAUUUGUUAACUUAUCUAUAAUAAUAAAAUUUUGUUGGGGCGACAAAGGAAUUUACUUAGCUUCCUUUAAAACUUUAAUAUCAAAAUUAAACCGAUCCGUCUAUCACGAUCAAAAAACAAGUUACCAUAGGGAUAACAGCAUAAUUCUUUUCAAGAGCCCAAAUCGAAAAAAGAGUUUGUGACCUCGAUGUUGGACUAAGGUAAUUAUAAAACGCAGCCGUUUUUUUGAAUAGUCUGUUCGACUAAUAG
This 462-nucleotide ribosomal RNA is filed under the name Georissa muluensis. RNAcentral's name for it is "partial 16S ribosomal RNA". It matches the Rfam family "Bacterial large subunit ribosomal RNA", at positions 1849 to 2591 of the family's 2925-position model. The record is from RNAcentral. Lineage: Eukaryota; Metazoa; Mollusca; Gastropoda; Cycloneritida; Hydrocenidae.